GAUGAAGAACGUAGCGAAAUGCGAUAAGUAAUGUGAAUUGCAGAAUUCAGUGAAUCAUCGAAUCUUUGAACGCACCUUGCACCCUUUGGCAUUCCGAAGGGUAUGCUCGUUUGAGUGUCAUUGUACUCUCACACUUCCGAUCUUUCGAUUGGAGCGGUGGACUUGGGUGUUGCUGCUUUACUGUGGCUCACCUCAAAUGGAGUAGUGCAACUCUUGGUUGGACAUAGUACGGCGUGAUAAGUGUCUUCGCCGGCACCUCAUAGAGGGUGGCUGAUCAGGAGCUCUGUGCUUCAAACUGUCUUCGGACAACCUCUGACAACUUGACCUCAAAUCGAGUAGGACCACCCGCUGAACUUAAGCAUAUCAAUAAGCGGAGGA
This 378-nucleotide unclassified non-coding RNA is filed under the name soil metagenome. Its description in RNAcentral is "partial contains 5.8S ribosomal RNA, internal transcribed spacer 2, and large subunit ribosomal RNA". The stretch from base 1 to 120 matches the Rfam family "5.8S ribosomal RNA", at positions 35 to 154 of the family's 154-position model. The record is from RNAcentral.